This 500-nucleotide ribosomal RNA is filed under the name uncultured bacterium. RNAcentral describes it as "partial 16S ribosomal RNA". It matches the Rfam family "Bacterial small subunit ribosomal RNA", at positions 30 to 523 of the family's 1533-position model. The record is from RNAcentral.
AUUGAACGCUGGCGGCAGGCCUAACACAUGCAAGUCGAGCGGCAGCGGGACCUUCGGGUUGCCGGCGAGCGGCGGACGGGUGAGUAAUGCCUAGGAAUCUGCCUGUUAGUGGGGGAUAACGCGGGGAAACUCGCGCUAAUACCGCAUACGUCCUACGGGAGAAAGCGGGGGCUCUUCGGACCUCGAGCUAACAGAUGAGCCUAGGUCGGAUUAGCUAGUUGGUGGGGUAAUGGCCCACCAAGGCGACGAUCCGUAACUGGUCUGAGAGGAUGAUCAGUCACACUGGAACUGAGACACGGUCCAGACUCCUACGGGAGGCAGCAGUGGGGAAUAUUGGACAAUGGGCGAAAGCCUGAUCCAGCCAUGCCGCGUGUGUGAAGAAGGUCUUCGGAUUGUAAAGCACUUUAAGUCGGGAGGAAGGGCUGUAGGCUAAUACCUUGCAGUUUUGACGUUACCGACAGAAUAAGCACCGGCUAACUUCGUGCCAGCCGCCGCCGUAA